RNAcentral lists this ribosomal RNA (458 nucleotides) under uncultured bacterium. Its description in RNAcentral is "bacterial SSU rRNA". It matches the Rfam family "Bacterial small subunit ribosomal RNA", at positions 338 to 793 of the family's 1533-position model. The record is from RNAcentral.
CCUACGGGAGGCAGCAGUAAGGAAUAUUGGACAAUGGACGAAAGUCUGAUCCAGCCAUGCCGCGUGCAGGAUGAAAGCCCUAUGGGUUGUAAACUGCUUUUAUACAGGAAGAAACACUCCGACGUGUCGGAGCUUGACGGUACUGUAAGAAUAAGGAUCGGCUAACUCCGUGCCAGCAGCCGCGGUAAUACGGAGGAUCCAAGCGUUAUCCGGAAUCAUUGGGUUUAAAGGGUCCGCAGGCGGUCUUUUAAGUCAGAGGUGAAAGCCUACAGCUCAACUGUAGAACGGCCUUUGAUACUGAAAGACUUGAGUUAUUGUGAAGUGGUUAGAAUGUGUGGUGUAGCGGUGAAAUGCAUAGAUAUCACACAGAAUACCGAUUGCGAAGGCAGAUCACUAACAAUAUACUGACGCUCAUGGACGAAAGCGUGGGGAGCGAACAGGAUUAGAUACCCUGGUAG